This is an RNA transcript of Salvia hispanica, 3115 nucleotides long. It is a transcript of the gene named putative late blight resistance protein homolog R1B-16, with no coding region annotated. The record is from RefSeq and is a predicted model, not a curated record. Lineage: Eukaryota; Viridiplantae; Streptophyta; Magnoliopsida; Lamiales; Lamiaceae.
AGUAUGAUAGGUUGGAAGAUUCAAAGGGAAAGUGACCGAAAUCCUCAAUAGAGAGAGGGAGAGAAAUUGAGUCUGAAAAAAUGGCAGAAGCGGCAGUGGAAUUCCUGCUGGAAAACCUGAAGCAGCUGCUGAUCCACCACGCCGACCUAAUAAAAAACGCGAGGAGCCAGGUGGAGAAGCUGGAGCAGGACGUCGGCUUCUUCAAAUCCUUUUUGAAGAAGGUGUCGAGCAAGAAGCUGCGGCAGGACCACACGCUCAAGGCGCUGGUGCGUGAGAUCCGCGGCGUCAUCUACGACGCCGACGACGCAAUCGACACUAUGGUCACGCAGGCCGCCGAGAAAAAGACACGGAAAUACAUCCCCAAAUUUGUAACCCUCCCCAGCAACCAUGACAUCAGCAACGCAGAGAGGAUCAAUGAGAUCUGCAGCAGGAUCACUCACAUCCUCAACGGCAAUGACAAGUUUAACCUCCUCAAUUUCUCCACCGCCGAUGAUGGCCCUGAUGAAGACGCUCUGCAGCCAACACCAUCAAAAAAAGAUAAUGUGGUGGGUUUGGAAGAUGAGGCUAACAAAAUAGUUGGCUAUCUCAAAGAAAACACUUCACAUUUGGAUGUGAUCUCCAUCAUUGGCAUGCCUGGCCUCGGCAAGACAACACUAGCCGGAAAGAUAUUUCACGAUCCCGACAUCAAGUAUGAAUUCACCACCCGUGUAUGGGUUUAUGUAUCCCAAGAGUUCACAGAGAAGGAGGUGUUUCUUUCCAUUUUGAGACAGAUGAAGACUCAGUUCAACGAGGAAGAGUACACGAAAAAGAGAUGCUCAGACCUCGCGAAAGAAACAUCAGCUCUUUUGGGCGAGGUUGGAAAAUUCUUGUUAGUCAUGGAUGAUGUGUGGGAGACUAAAGACUGGGAUAAGAUCAAAGAAUGUCUGCCUGAGGAUAACACGAGAGGUAAAGUCAUGAUCACCAGUCGCCAGAUGGAUGUGGGGAAGCAUGUCAACCGCUUCAGAGAGCCUCACCCUUUGCGUAAGUUGGAUUUGGAUGAGAGUUGCGAGCUACUCCAAUGGGAGGUUUUCAAAAAGCCAGAGUUCCCGCGUGGUUUGAAACGUGUCGGGAGAGAGAUUGCUGCAAAGUGCGACGGCCUGCCCCUGGCUAUCGUGGUGUUAGGAGGCGUUCUUGCCACCAAGUUCUCAAAAACUGAGACUCAAUGGGAGAUAGUUUCUACAAGUGUGAGUACGUUCCUUGGUUAUGAUUCAGAGAAACGCAUGGAGAAGAUCAUAGCAUUGAGUUAUGAGAGGUUGCCUUACCACUUGAAAGAAUGUUUCCUAUAUAUGGGUAUGUUUCCGGAAGAUUGUGAGAUCCCCGCUUGGAAAUUGAUCCGAAUGUGGAUUGCAGAAGGACUAAUACAGCCCAAGGACGGCAUCACCAUGGAGGAGGUUGCUGGCUACAAUCUUGAUGAUUUGAUCAAUCGAAAUCUGGUUAUGGCUGCAAAAUUGAAGGCUGAUGGGAGAGUCAAGUCCUGCAGGAUUCAUGACAUGUUACGUGACUUUUGCAAAGUUGAAGGCGGGAAAGACAGUGAUAAUUUCUACCAAGAAAUUAAGUGGUCCAGUGAUGAAGGGCUUCAGCCCUCCGUCACUGAAGCACAGAAGCAUCGACGCCUCUGUAUCCACUCGCAUGUCAUGGACUUCUUCGGUAAAGGUCCAGAAGGCCCUUACGUCCGCUCGUUCGUCACAUUCUCCGAAGAUAUAGAGGUGCCUUUAGACAAAAUCGCGGCCAUUUGUUCGGCUUUCAAGCUGUUGAGGGUUUUAGAAGCAAAGCCCCUCAAAUUCUCGCGAUUACCCAAGGAUUUCCACGAGCUGUUUCAUCUGAGGUACCUCGCACUAUCCAUGAAGCCAGAGUCGAACUCAACGCCUUCCGUUCUCCCCUCCACCUUCAAAAAGCUUUGGAACAUACAGACUCUUAUAGUCGACACAACAUCACGUUCCCUCGACAUCAGAGCAGAUGUCAUGAGCAUGACUCAGCUAAGACAUCUGAAGACGAACGCGUGCACCACUAUUGUAAAGCCAGGUAAAGAAAGCAAAGAAGGUGAGAAGCUUCAGAGCCUCAGCACAGUGUCACCAGAGAGCUGCACGGAGGCACUCUUUGACAGGGCACGCAAUCUAAAAAAGCUCGGGAUCCGUGGAAAACUAUCCUCAUUCCUCAAUAGCAAGACCGGAACAUUUGAUUGUUUAACGAAACUGAGCUAUCUCGAGAAGCUGAAGCUGCUCAACGAUGUAUAUCCGAAGCCACCUUCGCUUGGGAAGCUCGACAGCCUCCCUCCGGCCUAUAAAUUCCCCGUAAAUCUAAGAAGCCUGACUCUACAAAACACGUAUCUGGAGUGGACACACAUGUCUACUUUAGGGUCACUGCAGAAACUGAAGGUGCUGAAGCUCAAGGACAAGGCGUUUGUAGGGACGACAUGGGAGGUGAUGGAGAGAGGCUUCAACGCGCUUGAGGUUCUGCAUAUUAGGAGGACUGAUCUGUUGACCUGGACUGCAUCGGCGCAGCAUUUCCCGAGCCUUAAACAGCUUCAACUGCACAACUGUGAGAAGCUUAAGGAAGUUCCCAUAGGGCUGGCUGAUAAUCCGAAUCUGGAGUGUUUGGAUGUGCACUUCUGUGUGGAAGCAGCUGCCUCUGCCAUGAAGCUUGCUGCCGCCAAGAAGGCCAAAACCACCACCUUCACGCUCUCCAUUUUUCCACCAUGUGCAUGAAUCUAUUAUGUAUGUGCUAAAAAUAGCAAAAUGGGACUAUAAGGCACGGACAGAGGGAGUACUAUGCGGUUUCAACUCCAACAGAACAAGAAAUGUACUGCAUGCAAAAAAGUGAAUGGAGAGAAAUUAUGCCCAAUGAAUAAAUGUGCAUCGCAUCGUUGAUUCUUUGAGUGAACAAUAUUAUGUUGUAAUAGAACUAUCAUAUAGUUUUGUUUCGAUUAUAUCUUUGUAGUUGUGCAAUCAUGUCUCUGACUAUUCAAAGAAACCAGAUACCGCUUACCAGUCCAGGUAUGGUAUUGAGUGUGUAGUAUUUCCCAUUCAAAGAAGCCAGAUUGCCCUUAAUUAAUUAAGCCUUAAUAAUUUCUUUUCCA